This 1318-nucleotide ribosomal RNA is filed under the name metagenome. RNAcentral describes it as "bacterial SSU rRNA". It matches the Rfam family "Bacterial small subunit ribosomal RNA", at positions 132 to 1444 of the family's 1533-position model. The record is from RNAcentral.
UUGAGUGGGGGAUAACGUAGCGAAAGUUGCGCUAAUACCGCAUAUUCUGUGAGCAGGAAAGCAGGGGACCGCAAGGCCUUGCGCUCUUUGAGCGGCCGAUGUCAGAUUAGCUAGUUGGUGAGGUAAAGGCUUACCAAGGCGACGAUCUGUAGCGGGUCUGAGAGGAUGAUCCGCCACACUGGAACUGAGACACGGUCCAGACUCCUACGGGAGGCAGCAGUGGGGAAUUUUGGACAAUGGGGGCAACCCUGAUCCAGCCAUGCCGCGUGAGUGAAGAAGGCCUUCGGGUUGUAAAGCUCUUUCGGCCGGGAAGAAAUCGCAUGGGCCAAUACCCUGUGUGGAUGACGGUACCGGAAUAAGAAGCACCGGCUAACUACGUGCCAGCAGCCGCGGUAAUACGUAGGGUGCGAGCGUUAAUCGGAAUUACUGGGCGUAAAGCGUGCGCAGGCGGUUUUGUAAGACAGGCGUGAAAUCCCCGGGCUUAACCUGGGAACUGCGUUUGUGACUGCAAGGCUAGAGUACGGCAGAGGGGGGUGGAAUUCCACGUGUAGCAGUGAAAUGCGUAGAGAUGUGGAGGAACACCAAUGGCGAAGGCAGCCCCCUGGGUCGAUACUGACGCUCAUGCACGAAAGCGUGGGUAGGAAACAGGAUUAGAUACCCUGGUAGUCCACGCCCUAAACUAUGUCAACUAGGUGUUGGGUGGGUAAAACCAUUUAGUACCGUAGCUAACGCGUGAAGUUGACCGCCUGGGGAGUACGGCCGCAAGGUUAAAACUCAAAGGAAUUGACGGGGACCCGCACAAGCGGUGGAUGAUGUGGAUUAAUUCGAUGCAACGCGAAAAACCUUACCUACCCUUGACAUGCCAGGAACUUGCCAGAGAUGGCUUGGUGCCCGAAAGGGAGCCUGGACACAGGUGCUGCUUGGCUGUCGUCAGCUCGUGUCGUGAGAUGUUGGGUUAAGUCCCGCAACGAGCGCAACCCUUGUCGUUAAUUGCCAUCUUUUAGUUGGGCACUUUAACGAGACUGCCGGUGACAAACCGGAGGAAGGUGGGGAUGACGUCAAGUCCUCAUGGCCCUUAUGGGUAGGGCUUCACACGUCAUACAAUGGUCGGUACAAAGGGUUGCCAAGCCGCGAGGCGGAGCCAAUCCCAGAAAGCCGAUCGUAGUCCGGAUUGCAGGCUGCAACUCGCCUGCAUGAAGUCGGAAUCGCUAGUAAUCGUGGAUCAGCAUGUCACGGUGAAUACGUUCCCGGGUCUUGUACACACCGCCCGUCACACCAUGGGAGCGGGUUCCGCCAGAAGUAGGUAGCCUAACCGCAA